GGAUUGCCCGAGCUUCUCUAUUUAGGUACAAAGCUAAAAGCCUAUUUUUCCUGGCUUAGUUUUUCUUUUAUUUCCUUUAUUGAGAUAGAUAGUGAUAGUUUGUAUUGUGACAUUUUCAUUUAGUAUAGUUCUAUAAAGGUUAUUUGUUUUCAUUAGUUAUUUCUUGGAUGUCUUUUAACUCUUUAACUAUUUAAAUAGUUUUAAAAUUAUUAUUAUAAGAGGGUAUAUUGUUUGGCAAAUUGCUUUUACCUGUUUGUUUUGUGCAUAUCUUAGGUCACAGACUAUCUCGCUAAGUUCCUGCAGGUCACGGACUAUGUCUUCUAUUUCUUUUGAUUCAUUGCCUAAGUUGCUAAGUACCUCUCACUUGCAUUUGUGGGUUAGCCUUAGUUCCAUUUGAAUCUCUGGGGCUACCUACAGUUUCCUGUAUAGGAUGCUUUUGAAUUUCCACAUGUUCUGUUUUCCUAAUUCCCUUAAGUUUGUAUAGUGAAUAAGAGCCAAUUUUUAAAAUAUACUUAGCAGAUCAUAUUUAAGAAGGAAGAUCUGCUGAAACACACCCCAGAUAUUAUUGAAUUACAUACUUUUUUGGAUUAUUUACAUGAAUGGGCCUUUCUCAUAGUGCAUAUAUUUGAGAGGUGCUGUGAUUCCAUGUUCACAAUUUCACUUGAGUACCACACAGAAACAGGGUUGCCCUUACCCCUGAGGUGCAUUUUUGGAGGAACAAGAAGUAGUUUAGUCAUUGAUGAACAGUUCUAAUUCCACCUAACUACUCCUGGGCCCAUGUUGCUCUCUGGGACCUGUCCUUCAACUUAAAUCUCAACUUAUCACCCAGAAAGUGAGUAAUAAAAAGUCAGGUAGGUAAGGUAUAUAUCUUACAUAUUCACUUGGCCAAGAUUGCAGAUAUUUUAGUUUUAUUUUUAAAAUGAAUGUUUGAGAUUACUAAAACAUAAUGCCACUUAAUACCAAUUUUUAUUAGAUUUUACAAAAUAUUUUAUGUGUUUAUAAUGUAAAACAUUUUGGAAAAUACUUUUUUUUCUAUAUUUCAAGAACUAAAAAAAAUUAUAUUCUGUGCUGUUUGAUUCUGACACAUAGAGGUUUACUGCAGUGUUAAACUUUUUUUUUUUUUAAAGUAAGGUUGCUCCCUUUUUAUGUUAUUAACCAGUGUGAGGGAGAGACAGCAUAUUAAAGGUGUAUUUUUUUCCUAAUAAUGUAGCCAUUGUAAAUCAUUAGAAGCCCAUUUUAAUUUUGUUAUUAUGAAAGUUAUUUAUCCCUUAGAGUUCAUUUGAAACCCUCAAUAUAAUUUGUUUUUGCCAAAAAUAUGCUGCUCAGUAGUGAGUCUUGAAAAUUCCUUUGAUUUUAAGAUUUCUAAUAAGAUCUGAGAAUUAAUAUUUUGUCAGUUGAUGUCUUAUAUUUUAUUUUUUAUAGGAGAGAUGAUAAUAAAGACAUUGACUCAGAGAAAGAAGCUGCCAUGGAAGCUGAAAUUAAAGCUGCCCGAGAAAGGGCCAUUGUCCCUCUGGAGGCUCGAAUGAAGCAGUUCAAGGACAUGCUGCUAGAGAGAGGGGUGUCUGCUUUUUCAACAUGGGAGAAGGAGUUGCACAAGAUAGUUUUUGAUCCCCGGUACUUACUUCUCAAUCCUAAAGAGAGAAAACAGGUGUUUGAUCAGUAUGUAAAGACCAGGGCAGAGGAAGAACGCAGGGAAAAGAAAAAUAAAAUAAUGCAAGCCAAGGAAGAUUUCAAAAAAAUGAUGGAAGAAGCAAAAUUUAAUCCAAGAGCAACUUUUAGUGAAUUUGCAGCCAAGCAUGCUAAAGAUACAAGAUUCAAAGCAAUUGAAAAGAUGAAAGACCGAGAAGCCUUGUUUAAUGAGUUUGUGGCCGCUGCUAGGAAGAAAGAGAAAGAAGAUUCGAAGACCAGAGGUGAGAAGAUUAAAUCGGAUUUCUUUGAACUAUUAUCUAAUCAUCACUUGGACAGUCAGUCUCGAUGGAGCAAAGUAAAAGACAAAGUAGAAAGUGAUCCACGUUACAAAGCAGUAGAUAGUUCAUCAAUGAGAGAAGACCUUUUCAAACAGUACAUUGAAAAAAUAGCCAAGAAUUUAGACUCAGAAAAAGAAAAGGAGCUUGAAAGGCAAGCCCGCAUUGAGGCAAGCCUUCGAGAACGAGAAAGGGAGGUUCAAAAGGCCCGUUCAGAACAAACAAAAGAAAUAGAUCGAGAGAGAGAGCAGCACAAACGAGAAGAAGCUAUCCAGAAUUUCAAAGCUCUUCUGUCUGACAUGGUACGUUCUUCAGAUGUGUCAUGGUCUGAUACUCGUAGGACCCUCCGAAAAGAUCACCGCUGGGAAUCUGGAUCCUUAUUGGAAAGAGAGGAGAAAGAGAAGCUUUUUAAUGAACACAUUGAAGCACUUACCAAAAAAAAGAGAGAGCACUUUAGGCAACUUCUGGAUGAAACUUCUGCAAUUACCUUAACAUCCACGUGGAAAGAAGUAAAAAAAAUCAUUAAGGAAGAUCCUCGGUGUAUUAAGUUCUCCUCCAGUGACAGGAAAAAACAAAGAGAAUUUGAAGAAUAUAUCAGAGACAAAUAUAUCACAGCCAAAGCUGACUUCAGGACGCUUUUGAAAGAGACCAAAUUUAUAACAUAUAGUUAAUUUAGUGAAAGAUGUGAAAGUGAAAGCUUGUGAAAGAUGCUGGGAUUGGCAGCCCCGCAGACUGAAGUCCUCUGUUCAUCCACAGAACAGAUCCAAAAAAUUAAUCCAAGAAUCGGAUCAGCACCUGAAAGAUGUAGAAAAAAUUUUACAGAAUGACAAACGGUAUCUAGUACUGGACUGUGUGCCAGAGGAGAGGCGUAAACUGAUUGUGGCAUAUGUUGAUGACCUGGAUCGCCGGGGUCCACCCCCACCUCCCACAGCAUCAGAGCCCACGAGACGAUCAACAAAAUAAUUCUAAAUACUCUUCCAUAGGGGUAUCUAUUCAAAAUGCUUGCAUGAGCCAAUUUUCAGAUUUUUACAUAUAUGUGCAUUAGUCAACCUAUUGCAAAACCAUCUGACAAACAGAAGGAGAAGCAUUUGUGAACAGUUUCUGAACAGAACACUUUGGAAAUAUUUAUGCUUUUCUUUGUGUGGCAUGACUGACAUACAUACUCAAAUAUAGGCUGUCUCUAGUAAAUCUUAAAAUCUUGAAGCUAAAAUUCAUCCUUUUAUGAGGUGUGGAAGUCAGUGACUUGGUGACGUUCUUCCUAGCAGUGUUAAUACAUGCAAGAAGUAAGAGCAUUUGUGGCUUGAACUUGCCAGAUGCAAAUACCACAGACUCCAAGAAAACCCGAGUUGGGGUUUGUUUUGUUUUGAUUUUUUUUUUUUUUAAAGCGGGUAAAAGAGAAAACACUGAAAAUUGAAUUCUUAUCUUCCAGAGGCUACAAUUAUUAUAAUGGACAAUACUUUUACCUUUGUCUCUAAAGGUCAGAUUAGUUUUAUUUGUUCACUUACGUGCUUUGAUUAUCCCCUCUGAAUUAUAGACCAAGUCUUGUUGUUUAGCCUAAGAGAAGAUUUAUGUAGUAAUUUCUUCUCAGGUAUGGAACCACGGUCAUAACUAACAUGUUGGCCAGAAUAGAACCACUGGUUAAACAUAUUUUAUUCACCAUUAAGUGAUCUAUAUCAAUAUUCUGGAUUAGACAACAAAUUACCUUUCUGGGUGUUUCUUGUAAACUAUACUCCUGUUUGAAUGUUAAACUUUGUUGCUAAAGUUUAAUUUUAAGAUGUUUGAAUGUUCAGUUUAUGUAUUUGAACCACAAUAAACCAACCCUUUUUAUAUA
This 3795-nucleotide small RNA is filed under the name Pongo abelii (Sumatran orangutan). RNAcentral describes it as "retained intron". Lineage: Eukaryota; Metazoa; Chordata; Mammalia; Primates; Hominidae. The record is from RNAcentral.